GGACGUGUAACUCAGUGGUAGAGUGUGCGAUUGCAGCUGUCAAGUUUCAUCAUCGCAGUGUCGCCGGUUCGAUCCCGGUCACGUCCU
Talaromyces marneffei PM1 is the source of this 87-nucleotide non-coding RNA. Lineage: Eukaryota; Fungi; Ascomycota; Eurotiomycetes; Eurotiales; Trichocomaceae. The record is from Rfam.